This is a transfer RNA of Camelus ferus (Wild Bactrian camel), 72 nucleotides long. It matches the Rfam family "tRNA". From Rfam's summary of the family: Transfer RNA (tRNA) molecules are approximately 80 nucleotides in length. Their secondary structure includes four short double-helical elements and three loops (D, anti-codon, and T loops). The record is from Rfam. Lineage: Eukaryota; Metazoa; Chordata; Mammalia; Artiodactyla; Camelidae.
CAGGGUAUAGCUCAAUGGCAGAGCAUGUGCUUAGGAUGCACGAAGUCUUGGGUUCAAUCCCCAAUACCUUCA